GACGAACGCUGGCGGCGUGCUUAACACAUGCAAGUCGAACGGAAAGGCCCUGCUUUUGGGGGGUGCUCGAGUGGCGAACGGGUGAGUAACACGUGAGUAACCUGUCCUUGACUUUGGGAUAACUUCAGGAAACUGGGGCUAAUACCGGAUAGGAGCUCCUGCUGCAUGGUGGGGGUUGGAAAGUUUCGGCGGUUGGGGAUGGACUCGCGGCUUAUCAGCUUGUUGGUUGGGUAGUGGCUUACCAAGGCUUUGACGGGUAGCCGGCCUGAGAGGGUGACCGGCCACAUUGGGACUGAGAUACGGCCCAGCCUCCUACGGGAGGCAGCAGUGGGGAAUAUUGCAGAAUGGGCUGAAGCCUGAUGCAGCAACGCCGCGUGCGGGAUGACGGCCUUCGGGUUGUAAACCACUUUCGCCUGUGACGAAGCGUGAGUGACGGUAAUGGGUAAAGAAGCACCGGCUAACUACGUG
Molecule: ribosomal RNA, 468 nt
Filed under: uncultured bacterium
Lineage: Bacteria
Description: partial 16S ribosomal RNA
Rfam family: Bacterial small subunit ribosomal RNA
Source: RNAcentral